RNAcentral lists this ribosomal RNA (441 nucleotides) under uncultured bacterium. RNAcentral describes it as "partial 16S ribosomal RNA". It matches the Rfam family "Bacterial small subunit ribosomal RNA", at positions 338 to 795 of the family's 1533-position model. The record is from RNAcentral.
CCUACGGGAGGCAGCAGUGGGGAAUAUUGCACAAUGGGGGGAACCCUGAUGCAGCGACGCCGCGUGGGUGAAGGAGUAUUUCGGUAUGUAAAGCCCUAUCAGCAGGGAAGAACAAUGACGGUACCUGACUAAGAAGCACCGGCUAAAUACGGGCCAGCAGCCGCGGUAAUACGUAGGGUGCAAGCGUUAGUCGGAUUUACUGGGCGUAAAGGGAGCGCAGGCGGCGCGUUAAGCCUGGUGUGAAAGCCCGCGGCCUAACCGCGGGACUGCAUUGGGAACUGGCGAGCUAGAGUGCCGGAGGGGGAGGCGGAAUUCCUAGUGUAGCGGUGAAAUGCGUAGAUAUUAGGAGGAACACCAGUGGCGAAGGCGGCCCCCUGGACGGUGACUGACGCUGAGGCUCGAAAGCGUGGGGAGCAAACAGGAUUAGAUACCCUAGUAGUC